GACGAACGCUGGCGGCGCGCUUAACACAUGCAAGUCGAACGGAAAGGCCUGCUUUCCCUUGUGGAUUGCGGGUACUCGAGUGGCGAACGGGUGAGUAACACGUGAGUGAUCUGCCCCCAACUUGGGUAUAAGCCUGGGAAACUGGGUCUAAUUCCCGAUAGGACUGCAGGGUGGUGCCUGUGGUGGAAAACGAUUUUCUAGUGGUUGGGGAUGAGCUCGCGGCCUAUCAGCUUGUUGGUGGGGUAAUGGCCUACCAAGGCGGCGACGGGUAGCCGGCCUGAGAGGGUGGACGGCGACAGUGGGACUGGGAUACGGCCCAGACUCCUACGGGAGGCAGCAGUGGGGAAUAUUGCACAAUGGGCGGAAGCCUGAUGCAGCGACGCCGCGUGGGGGAUGACGGCCUUCGGGUUGUAAACUCCUUUCGACCGCGAGGAAGCCACCUGGUUGGAAGGGUGGUGACGGUAGUGGUAGAAGAAGCACCGGCUAACUACGUG
Molecule: ribosomal RNA, 494 nt
Filed under: uncultured bacterium
Lineage: Bacteria
Description: partial 16S ribosomal RNA
Rfam family: Bacterial small subunit ribosomal RNA
Source: RNAcentral